CGGGGCCGGAAGUGGCGGCGGCCCGGCCGAAUUCGGCGGCGCCACGUCUGGCUUGGGUUUCCUCUCCCUGCCCGGGGCGGCGGCGCUGGGAACAGCGGGCGGAGCGCGGCUGGACCCUCGCCUCGCUUCUUCCUUAGCGGCCGCUUCGUAGCGAGGCCUCGGGCGGCGGCCGGGUGCGGCAGCGGCGACAUGUCGGACCUGGGGGACUGGUUCCGGAGCAUCCCGUUGAUCACCCGCUACUGGUUCGCCGGCUCCAUUGCGGUGCCGCUCAUCGGCAAGCUGGGCCUUGUCAGCCCCGUCUACCUCUUCCUAUGGCCCGACGCCUUCAUCAACCGCUUCCAAAUCUGGCGGCCGAUAACUGCAACUUUCUUCUUCCCAGUGGGACCUGGAACAGGAUUUCUGUACUUGGUGAAUUUGUAUUUCUUGUAUCAAUAUUCGUCACGAUUAGAAACAGGAGCUUUUGAUGGAAGGCCAGCAGAUUACAUGUUCAUGCUCCUGUUUAACUGGAUCUGCAUUGUUAUAACUGGCUUGGCAAUGGACAUGCAGUUGCUGAUGAUUCCACUCAUCAUGUCAGUACUUUAUGUGUGGGCCCAGCUGAACAGAGACAUGAUCGUAUCAUUUUGGUUUGGAACAAGAUUUAAGGCCUGUUACCUUCCAUGGGUUAUUCUGGGAUUCAACUACAUCAUUGGUGGAUCAGUCAUCAAUGAGCUGAUAGGAAAUCUGGUUGGACACCUGUAUUUCUUUUUAAUGUUUAAAUAUCCAAUGGAUUUGGGAGGAAGGAAUUUUCUCUCCACACCUCAGUUCCUGUACCGCUGGCUGCCAAAUAGGAGAGGAGGAGUGUCGGGGUUUGGUGUCCCACCUGCUAGCAUGAGAAGAGCUGCAGAAGACCCACAGGGUGGUGGAAGACACAACUGGGGCCAAGGUUUCCGGCUAGGUGACCAGUGAAGAACUCCUGCCUUUGGAAAAUGGCAACUCUCUGGUUUUAAUAGGACGUAGAACCGACCCUUCCUGGUGCAGAGCAUGUUUAAGAACCAGGCUCUCUGCAGUACUGUUGGAUUUAACUGAUCAGAAAGAAUGUUUCUGGUUCAAGAGAAAAUUAAAAAGUCCAGAAGGCAAAAAUGUAGAUCUUGCUCCAGGUUAGCCAGUAGUGUCCAAUUUGAUUCUGCCAUUAAAAAAAGCCUUCUUUAUACAGUAUUGUCUGUCUGUUGCAGUGGGCAUCCAUUAUGCAGUCUUGUUCCAUGAAUGUGAUGGAGCAAGGUAAUGGUGUUCUGUCUCACCUGGUACGUUAAAAGCUUUGUUGACCGUGGUAAGUUAAGAAUCCAAUGUGAGGCAGAUGGAUCAAACUAACCCCAAAGUUUAGGAAGCUGACUUUUUCCACAGCUGUGCUUAAGUCCCUGCGCCUUUGGAAACAUUAUUUAAGUGAUGUCUCUACUGCAUUCAUAAAGCAAAGUGCAAAUAUUUCAUUUCCAUUAUUAAGCUAUGUUUUAAGGGGAGUUUUUUCUUACAGUGCAGCAUUUUCCUGCCUGCUACAGCACAGGCUGGGCAAGACCAGGGAUAAGAGGGCUUUCAUUUGAAAUGGCAAUAACAGAUAUUCACAGAAUUUAAAUCUCUGAGCUCUUCAUCGCAUGUUACAAGGCUUGCUGUUUAAACUGAAGUUGUCUAGCUUGUGUGGUUGGUUUUUUUUUUUUCCCUGAGAUCUGUGAAUUCUUGGCUUCAAGGUUUCUAUUUUGAUUGCAAAAUUGGGUAGCACAAAUAACAUUUAAACUAGAAAAUGUAACAUAUCAUUGUGGUUAAUGUAAAGGGUAUUAACUGCAGCAUUAUGUUUGUUAACUGCAUCUUCAAAUUUCUCUUCAAAGCUUUAAGACCUCAAAGAAUUAAAGCUGGAAAUAAAGUUUUCCAGGGUCAAGAUACAAUAGAACAGAUUGCUUUACUAUGGGACUCUUUCACUGUCAAAUAAGAAAUUAUGUACACUGUUUAUUAGUAUUUACGUUUUUUGGUAGAAAUUUUUGACAUGGAAAAGGGAAUGAUUCUGUAGAGUAGUUUUCCUUGUACUGGGUUCUCGUGGGCAGAGCACAGGACUAAGACCAAGGAAGCUGUAAUGCUAGCUUAUUACUGACCGCAUGGACUUGAGCAAACUUCUUUCUUACUUCAGUUUUCCCAGCUGUAAGGAGGACUCAUUUGUCUCAUAGCAUUCUUAAAAGGUAGCUGUCCCCGACUCCCCUAGGUAGGUGCUUCUAGUGAGCAAGGUAAGGCUUAGGUUCACGUAAAUGACAACCAUUAAAUUAGGAAUGCAGUUACUCUAAGCUUAACCAAGACUUCAAAGUUGGAAUAUAGUUGCUCACUUUUUGUUUUCUAGUUGGAGGAGGAAAAGCAUCGUCACUAGGAUGAGAUUCAAGUCUCUGACCGAAUUUCCCAUCAGCAUUUUUUCUUUUUACUAGGUAGGUGGGGCACAGAAAGUUGUUCUACCCCAACUUGGGUAUCUCAGGUAUCUGUAAGUGGAGUGAAUCUGGGCCAAAACAUUUUUAUUGCUACUUUGUUUCUUCACUAAACCUGGGUUCUGAAGGUUUAAAAACUUGUAAAUACUAUGUGAUGUGAAACUGAGUGGGAAAUAAACAGUCAGACUGGAAGUUUUCAUCUGGCUUGCUUGAAAAAAAUACAUGCUACCUUUCUUCACUGCAGGUUAAUUUUGUUGAUUCAGCUUGUGGAAAACCGUAGAAAACUGGUAAUGAUCAUAUUGCGUGCUUACAUUUUACAGGAACUUGGAGUUCAGAAAUCACCUGCCAUUUUUGUUUGUUCAGUGAUGAAGUUUAAAGAUGCUCUUGUCUUUUUAUAAAAUGCUUAAGACAAACCUUGUGAUCUGUCCAUCUCCAGGGAAUGUCUGACAGCUGUACUGUGACACCACCUUCUGCUGUUGAUAAAAGUACUCAAGAAAAUGACCUGCUUUUGGGUAGGAGCCUUGUCUUCUCUGAUCAACUGCAAAAUUGUAAAGGCGUUUUCUUUAUCGCCAUGAGUCUUGACAGUCUGUGUCCUUCCUGGCCGAUUACAAAAAAAAGCUGUAAAAUGCUAUACUUGAUUAUACUCUGUUGUCCUUUGGGAGGAAGUACGCUCCUACUCACCCUCAAACUGUGUGAAAUUGAUAGAGAUUAGUUACUUUUCCAGGGAUAAGCUUGGUAUUCUGCAAUACUCGCUGUCCAGGCAGAUCUGCACUGCUGCCAGAGUUCCUUUUGAGGCUCUUAUCUCAGCUGAUUUGGAGACUUGUUGAGCAUCCUCUGAAUGACUCUUCUGGUCCUCAUUGUUCGUGUGACUGCAUUUCUCCUGUUUGUUACCAUAGAGGCACCAAAGAAGAUCAUGGACUUGGUACAUAAGGCACUCUGUGAAUUUGUUGUGCUUCUUGAGCUGGAAAGUCUUGGUCCAUACUAUACACCAGACAACAGCAUGGCAAGUGUGCGCGUUUUGAUUUUGCUCCAGCUGCAUUAGGAGUCAGCAGAAGAGCCAAGAAUACGAAAUCAAAUGCUUCUAAAAUGCUUCAUCUUUCAUUCCUAUCACUUUGUCUGGAUGACAGCUCCUCUCUCAACACAACUCGGUAAUGUGGCGUUGCUGGAAACUGGACCUGUUGCUUCAUUCUGUCAUCUGAUUGUCACAUUAGGAAAACUGAGAGGCUUUAAUUUUCAGAGUAGCAUAUUGUUUGCAAUACAACCUAAGAUUCUUUCUGUGUUUAUAUACCACUGUGUACCUUAUCAAGGAGGAAAACUGCUUUGCCUUGAUGGUUAAGGUAGCGAGCUGAAGAGAUAGACACUAAUUUACAGUCUGAAGCUUCUGAUAUAACAAGUCACCUAAUGGCUUUUUAAUCCUGUUAUGCAUCCAUGAAAUGAAGACGAUUCAUAUUCUCCCUUGUUCCAUGCUAGGCUUAGGAUGAUGGAUCAAUUUGUACUUGCUGUAGUAUGGCACAGCACUAAUUUUGGUGAAGAUGUUCUUAGCAGUGUCAUCCCUUGCAGUAGUAAAUGGCUUUUCUUGUUUUGUGCA
This is an RNA transcript of Falco peregrinus (peregrine falcon), 4023 nucleotides long. It is a transcript of the gene named derlin 1, with no coding region annotated. Lineage: Eukaryota; Metazoa; Chordata; Aves; Falconiformes; Falconidae. The transcript is spliced from 9 exons. The record is from RefSeq and is a predicted model, not a curated record.